Molecule: ribosomal RNA, 257 nt
Filed under: uncultured bacterium
Lineage: Bacteria
Description: partial 16S ribosomal RNA
Rfam family: Bacterial small subunit ribosomal RNA
Source: RNAcentral
CUCUACCUACGGGGCAGCAGUGAGGGAUAUUGGUCAAUGGGGGAAACCCUGAACCAGCAACGCCGCGUGAGGGAAGACGGUUUUCGGAUUGUAAACCUCUGUCCUCUGUGAAGAUAAUGACGGUAGCAGAGGAGGAAGCUCCGGCUAACUACGUGCCAGCAGCCGCGGUAAUACGUAGGGAGCGAGCGUUGUCCGGAUUUACUGGGUGUAAAGGGUGCGUAGGCGGGGAAGCAAGUAAGAAGUGAAAUGCAUGGGAU